Molecule: ribosomal RNA, 497 nt
Filed under: uncultured bacterium
Lineage: Bacteria
Description: partial 16S ribosomal RNA
Rfam family: Bacterial small subunit ribosomal RNA
Source: RNAcentral
GACGAACGCUGGCGGCGUGCCUAAUACAUGCAAGUUGAGCGCUGAAGGUUGGUACUUGUACCAACUGGAUGAGCAGCGAACGGGUGAGUAACGCGUGGGGAAUCUGCCUUUGAGCGGGGGACAACAUUUGGAAACGAAUGCUAAUACCGCAUAAAAACUUUAAACACAAGUUUUAAGUUUGAAAGAUGCAAUUACAUCACUCAAAGAUGAUCCCGCGUUGUAUUAGCUAGUUGGUGAGGUAAAGGCUCACCAAGGCGAUGAUACAUAGCCGACCUGAGAGGGUGAUCGGCCACAUUGGGACGGAGACACGGCCCAAACUCCUACGGGAGGCAGCAGUAGGGAAGCUUCGGCAAUGGACGAAAGUCUGACCGAGCAACGCCGCGUGAGUGAAGAAGGUUUUCGGAUCGUAAAACUCUGUUGGUAGAGAAGAACGUUGGUGAGAGUGGAAAGCUCAUCAAGUGACGGUAACUACCCAGAAAGGGACGGCUAACUACGUG